RNAcentral lists this ribosomal RNA (907 nucleotides) under uncultured bacterium. Its description in RNAcentral is "bacterial SSU rRNA". It matches the Rfam family "Bacterial small subunit ribosomal RNA", at positions 21 to 906 of the family's 1533-position model. The record is from RNAcentral.
GGCUCAGAACGAACGCUGGCGGCGUGCUUAACACAUGCAAGUCGAACGCGGAAGGGACUUCGGUCCUGAGUAAAGUGGCGCACGGGUGAGUAACGCGUGGAUAAUCUACCCAAUGGUCCGGGAUAACAUUUCGAAAGGGGUGCUAAUACCGGAUAAGACCACGGAGUCUCUGGACUCUGCGGUAAAAGGUGGGGACCUUCAGGCCUACCGCAAUUGGAUGAGUCCGCGUACCAUUAGCUAGUUGGUAGGGUAAAGGCCUACCAAGGCUACGAUGGUUAGCUGGUCUGAGAGGAUGAUCAGCCACACUGGAACUGAGACACGGUCCAGACUCCUACGGGAGGCAGCAGUGGGGAAUUUUGCGCAAUGGGGGAAACCCUGACGCAGCAACGCCGCGUGAGUGAUGAAGGCCUUCGGGUCGUAAAGCUCUGUCAGAGGGGAAGAAAUGCAGGGUGCUAAUAUCACUUCUGCUUGACGGUACCCUCAAAGGAAGCACCGGCUAACUCCGUGCCAGCAGCCGCGGUAAUACGGAGGGUGCGAGCGUUGUUCGGAAUUAUUGGGCGUAAAGCGCGUGUAGGCGGUUUGUUAAGUCUGAUGUGAAAGCCCCGGGCUCAACCUGGGAAGUGCAUUGGAAACUGGCAGACUUGAAUACGGGAGAGGGUAGUGGAAUUCCUAGUGUAGGAGUGAAAUCCGUAGAUAUUAGGAGGAACACCGGUGGCGAAGGCGGCUGCCUGGACCGAUAUUGACGCUGAGACGCGAAAGCGUGGGGAGCAAACAGGAUUAGAUACCCUGGUAGUCCACGCCGUAAACGAUGAGUACUAGGUGUUGCGGGUAUUGACCCCUGCAGUGCCGCAGCUAACGCAUUAAGUACUCCGCCUGGGAAGUACGGCCGCAAGGCUAAAACUCAAAU